RNAcentral lists this ribosomal RNA (468 nucleotides) under uncultured bacterium. RNAcentral describes it as "partial 16S ribosomal RNA". It matches the Rfam family "Bacterial small subunit ribosomal RNA", at positions 28 to 507 of the family's 1533-position model. The record is from RNAcentral.
GACGAACGCUGGCGGCGUGCUUAACACAUGCAAGUCGAACGGAAAGGCCCUGCUUUUGUGGGGUGCUCGAGUGGCGAACGGGUGAGUAACACGUGAGUAACCUGCCCUUGACUUUGGGAUAACUUCAGGCAACUGGGGCUACUACCGGAUAGGAGCUCCUGCUGCCUGGUGGGGGUUGGAAAGUUUCGGCGGUUGGGGAUGGACUCGCGGCUUAUCAGCUUGUUGGUGGGGUAGUGGCUUACCAAGGCUUUGACGGGUAGCCGGCCUGAGAGGGUGACCGGCCACAUUGGGACUGAGAUACGGCCCAGACUCCUACGGGAGGCAGCAGUGGGGAAUAUUGCACAAUGGGCGGAAGCCUGAUGCAGCAACGCCGCGUGCGGGAUGACGGCCUUCGGGUUGUAAACCGCUUUCGCCUGUGACGAAGCGUGAGUGACGGUAAUGGGUAAAGAAGCACCGGCUAACUACGUG